UUCCUGGUAGUCCAGUGGUUAAGACUCUGCACUUGCAAUGCAGGGGCUACAGGUUUGAUCUCUGGUCAGGGAA
RNAcentral lists this transfer RNA (73 nucleotides) under Ovis aries (sheep). It matches the Rfam family "tRNA". Rfam says of the family: Transfer RNA (tRNA) molecules are approximately 80 nucleotides in length. Their secondary structure includes four short double-helical elements and three loops (D, anti-codon, and T loops). Lineage: Eukaryota; Metazoa; Chordata; Mammalia; Artiodactyla; Bovidae. The record is from Rfam by way of RNAcentral.